Molecule: ribosomal RNA, 676 nt
Filed under: Acetobacter cerevisiae
Lineage: Bacteria; Pseudomonadati; Pseudomonadota; Alphaproteobacteria; Acetobacterales; Acetobacteraceae
Description: bacterial SSU rRNA
Rfam family: Bacterial small subunit ribosomal RNA
Source: RNAcentral
AGGGUUUCGGCCUUAGUGGCGGACGGGUGAAGUAACGCGUAGGAAUCUAUCCAUGGGUGGGGGAUAACUCCGGGAAACUGGAGCUAAUACCGCAUGAUACCUGAGGGUCAAAGGCGCAAGUCGCCUGUGGAGGAGCCUGCGUUUGAUUAGCUUGUUGGUGGGGUAAUGGCCUACCAAGGCGAUGAUCAAUAGCUGGUCUGAGAGGAUGAUCAGCCACACUGGGACUGAGACACGGCCCAGACUCCUACGGGAGGCAGCAGUGGGGAAUAUUGGACAAUGGGGGCAACCCUGAUCCAGCAAUGCCGCGUGUGUGAAGAAGGUUUUCGGAUUGUAAAGCACUUUCGGCGGGGACGAUGAUGACGGUACCCGCAGAAGAAGCCCCGGCUAACUUCGUGCCAGCAGCCGCGGUAAUACGAAGGGGGCUAGCGUUGCUCGGAAUGACUGGGCGUAAAGGGCGUGUAGGCGGUUUGCACAGUUAGAUGUGAAAUCCCCGGGCUUAACCUGGGAGCUGCAUUUAAUACGUGCAGACUAGAGUGUGAGAGAGGGUUGUGGAAUUCCCAGUGUAGAGGUGAAAUUCGUAGAUAUUGGGAAGAACACCGGUGGCGAAGGCGGCAACCUGGCUCAUGACUGACGCUGAGGCGCGAAAGCGUGGGGAGCAAACAGGAUUAGAUACCCU